AUGCUUGUCUACGAGUACCUC
Molecule: non-coding RNA, 21 nt
Filed under: Arabidopsis thaliana (thale cress)
Lineage: Eukaryota; Viridiplantae; Streptophyta; Magnoliopsida; Brassicales; Brassicaceae
Source: RNAcentral